RNAcentral lists this unclassified non-coding RNA (253 nucleotides) under uncultured Bacillota bacterium. RNAcentral describes it as "uncultured Firmicutes bacterium contains 16S-23S intergenic spacer region". It matches the Rfam family "Bacterial small subunit ribosomal RNA", at positions 524 to 776 of the family's 1533-position model. The record is from RNAcentral. Lineage: Bacteria; Bacillati; Bacillota.
UACGUAGGUGGCAAGCGUUGUCCGGAAUUACUGGGCGUAAAGGGUGCGUAGGCGGCUACUUAAGUCCUGUGUGAAAGGCCCCGGCUCAACCGGGGAGAGCCAUGGGAUACUGGGUAGCUUGAGUACCGGAGAGGGGGGCGGGAUUCCCGGUGUAGCGGUGAAAUGCGUAGAGAUCGGGAGGAACACCAGUGGCGAAGGCGGCCACCUGGACGGUAACUGACGCUGAGGCACGACAGCUGGGGGAGCGAACGGG